GCGGGCGGGGCGGGUGCUGGACCCGGAGGGGCCUUCCGGCAACUUUUUGGUUGGUGCCGCCCCGCCCAGGCCCCUUUUAAACUUGAUCUCCGCAGUGCCCUCCCUUUUCGGCCGCGGCGCGUGACUGGGCUUGGUGGAGUUUCAAGAUGCUGAUGAACUUAAGGUCUGGCGCUUGAAAGAAUCAGUGAAGCUUUUCAAGUAGAGGAGGUAUAUUUGAAUAUGUAACCUUUAGUAUCUACAGAAUAGAGGUUGCUUUUUUUUUUUUUUUUUUGUCCCUUUCACAGUGGUAGCAAGGUUGAAUUUUGAGAUGGCCCCAAUCAUCUAUAGGAAUAUUAUUUGACAGUUUUGGAGACACAAAACUGCCUUAUAGCUGACUUGAUCCUGUAGAACAUUUCUGUGGAAUUCAAUUCUAUUAUUUAAGGUAGUUUUUCCAUGAACCAGCUGUGGUCUGUAACUUGACAGUGUUAAUAAAACAAGUAGCAAUACCUUCAUCAUGGUUCACAUGGUCAACAAAGAUAUGACUUAACUCUAAGAUUGUUAUUUUACAGUAUAGUCUUUUUUUUUUUUUUUUUUUUAUAAUAGAUAGUUUCACUCUUGUUGCCCAGGCUGGAGUGCAGUGGUGCAAUCUUGGCUCACUGCACCCUCUGCUACCCAGAUUCAAGCGAUUCUCCUGCCUCAGCCUCCUGAGUAGCUGGGAUUACAGGCGCGUGCCACCACACCCAGCUAAUUUUGUAUUUUUACACAUUUUUGUUUGUUUGUUUGAGACGGAGUCUCACUGUCGCCCAGGCUGGAGUGCAGUGGCACGAUCUCAGCUCACUGCAACCUCUGCCUCCCGGGUUCAAGCGAUUCUCCACCUCAGCCUCCCGAGUAGCUGAGAUUACAAGCUAAUUUUUGUAUUUUUGUAGAGACAGGGUUUCACCAUGUUGGCCAGGCUGGUCUCGAACUCCUGAUCUCAAGUGAUCUGCCUGCCUCGGCCUUCCAAAGUGCUGGAAUUAAUAGGGGUGAGCCACCAUGCCCGCCCAGUAUAUUCUUUUUUUUUUUUUUUUUUUUUGAGACGGAGUUUUGCUCUUGUUGCCCAGGCUGGAGUGCAGUGGCAUGAUCUCAGCUCACCACAACCUCCACCUCCUGGGUUCAAUCAAUUCUACCUCAGCCUCCCGAGUAGCUGGAAUUACAGGCAUGUGCCACCACACCCAGCUAAUUUUGUAUUUUUAGUAGGGAUGGCGUUUCUCCAUGUUGGUCAGGCUGGUCUAGAACUCCUGACCUCAGGUGAUCAGCCUGCCUCAGCCUCCCAAAGGGCUGGGAUUACAGGCGUCAGCCACUAUACCCAGCAGUAUAUUCUUAAAUAUUACUGUUGAGCCAUAUAUACGACAAUGGUGGACUUUGAAUGUCCGCACAUCUGUAGUAAAAUGCAAUGCUACCUUCAUUUUUUGUUGGUAUGCUAAAGAAAUUUUAAGUAUCUCACUUUUAAAAAAAUAGGUUUGUGUAUUUUAUGUGCUUACACAUUUUUCCAUAGUACUGUAGAUCAUUUUAGUGAUGAAAUUUGAUACUUUUGACAGAAAAACAGGUCAGUGAGUUCCUUGGGAUCAAAAAGGGGUUGAUUACAAGGGCAGGAAGGAAUUGUUAGUGUGAUUCUACAGUUCUGCAUCUUGAUUAUGGUAUGACUGUGCGUUUGUCAAACCUUAACAGGAUGAAUUUUGCUGAAUGUAAAAUCAUACUUCAAUAAACAUGACUUUAAAAACUUAA
Molecule: long non-coding RNA, 1743 nt
Organism: Homo sapiens (human)
Lineage: Eukaryota; Metazoa; Chordata; Mammalia; Primates; Hominidae
Gene: SNHG26
Product: small nucleolar RNA host gene 26
Source: Ensembl